AUCACCUGGAAAUUUUGUUAAAAUGCAGCUCCUGAUUCAGUAGGUCUGGGGUGGGACCUGAGAUGCUGUAUUUCUAAUAAGUUUCUAGGUGAUGCUGA
Molecule: microRNA precursor, 98 nt
Filed under: Loxodonta africana (African savanna elephant)
Lineage: Eukaryota; Metazoa; Chordata; Mammalia; Proboscidea; Elephantidae
Description: mir-544 microRNA precursor family
Rfam family: mir-544 microRNA precursor family
Source: Rfam by way of RNAcentral